AUGGACUACUCGUACCUGAACCAAGCCAACUUUGACGGUCUGACCGGCACUACCACGGCCGCGUCCAACAUGGACCACGCGGCCAUGGGAUACGGCGACCUGACCACGUGCGGCCAGAUGACGCACGCCGCGUACCGGUUCGGUCCCACCGCGUCCAUGGCCGCUCGGUCGUACAAUACGGCCAUGGGCCAUCACCUGUCGGCUGCCGCAGCCGCCGCGGCUGUCGCGUCCGGCAAUGGCCACAACGGCAGCGGCGUCACGUCCGCAGCCGCCGCCGCAGCCGCAGCCGCCGCCCGAGGACACCACCACGGACAUCACCAGGACCAUCACCCGGGGCGGCCGACAAUGUUCUCGACCGCAAUGAAUUUGCCAGGUGGGUUAGCAGCAUAUAAAAGUCUUCCGUACACUACUCAUGACAGUAUUCUAACGGAAAAAAGAAAACAAAGGAGAAUACGGACUACUUUUACUUCAGCACAGUUGAAGGAAUUGGAAAGAGCUUUUCAAGAAACACAUUAUCCUGAUAUAUAUACCAGAGAAGAGAUCGCCAAACACAUAGAGCUUACCGAGGCCAGAGUUCAGGUGUGGUUUCAAAAUCGCCGGGCAAAAUUCCGAAAACAAGAAAGGCUAGCCCAGCAAAAGUCGUCGCAAUCCAGCAGCAGUAGCACGGUAGAUGCGACCAGCAUAAAAACCGAGCCGAAACAAUGCGGUCAAUCUAAAGACGGGAAGCCUGGCACACCGUCCACGCCUGGUAGCAUAUCUUCUAACAACGGUUCUACCGACAUGAAAUCAGUCAAUGGAUCAGCGAUAAAAAUGUCUGAGCAAUCGGAAGGGGUGAACAACAACAAAUGGCUGUUGGGCCAGGGCCAGAACUACACGCAGCUCCACCACCAGCUUCAGCAACAGUGUGGUGGUGGAAGUGGUGGUGGUGGCAGUGGGGGCGGUGGUGGCGGUGGUGGUGGAGGAAACGGGUCACCAGGAAACAAUUCACCGGCUCACAAGAUGAACGGCGGCGGCGGCGGCGGCGGUACGCACAAUCACAAUCACCAUCAUCAUCACCACUCGCCAACGUCGCAUCACCAACAGUUCGCCCACCACCCGUUCAGUUUAUUGGGCGCCGCUGGACCGGCUAGCUACCUGCUCGGCUCCGACUCGCUCAAGGUCACCGGUGGCGGUGCGGGCGGCGGACCGGCCGGGUCCAAUCACGUCUUGUUCUGAACUACGCUGCAAUGAACCGCGGGCAAACUUGGUCACUAUAUUAAAAUAAUAAUAUUAGGCAUAUUAAACCAUGACAAUUAUACGAGUGACGGUACACAUCAGAAUAUUAUUUCGCCACAAUAAUAGCUGGUACCUAUAAUACACGUCGUACACGAUUAUCGACGAUCGCAUUUCACCGUUUUGUACAUAUUAAUAUUAUUAUAAAAUAUAUAUAUAUAUAUAUAUAAUAUACGAAAAAAAUUAUAUAUUGUAAACAGUGUUGUUAAUAGGUAAUAAUAUAAGAAAAAUAUUGUCUUUCGCGUUGUGAGGAUAAACCAUAAAGUAUAUAUCGUAACUUUUCUUUUAUUUCAAUUUUUUUUUUGUUUUAUGUAUAUUUUAAUUUUCUUUCGUCAAAUAUAAUAAUAAUUCAAGUAGGUAUAAAUGGUAUAAUAUGCGAUUCGGUAUAAAUAAUUUUAAAUACCAAAUACAUAACAAUAAAUAGCGGGAAAGGAUGCGAUAUCAUAUCAAUGUAAAUCGUUAAAAGCCGUGUGGUUGGGUGCGCAUAAGAAUAUAGUUAUAUAAUCGUGGCCAUCACCGCAAAAAAUGACGAGGCUACAGUUGCUGCACUAAGAUGGGUCCAGGAGGGUGUUUUAUUGCUCCCUCUCGAUUUCAAAUUUUCAUAUCCAUACCUGCCUGAUGUAGCCGAAAAGUCAUUACGUGUUUACUAUAUAAAGCGGUUUUGCCGGGCUUAUAAUUUUGUUCCAUAUUAUCACGCAUAUAGUGUGUAAUAUUCAAAAAUAAUAACGACCUUAAUAAUAUUAUGAUAUAAUGUAUUGUAUGAUCACAGCACCAAGUGCUUAUAUAAACACGUUUAUAAUAAUUGUAGUCAGAACUAUUUUCAGUUGGUCUUGUACAGCGCGACAACGAUUUACAAUAAAUCUGUAUCUAUAUAUAUAUAUAUGCUAUAAUAUGUAAUGUAUAAUAUAUUACAUAGACACGGGGCGGGUAUACUAUGGUGGUCCACCCCAAAAAAGUAUAUGCCUAAACACGCCUCUCAAAUUUCCUGUUAUAUAUAUUUAUGUGUAUGUAUAUGUGCGUGUGUGUAUGUGUGUGUGUGUGUGUGUGUGUUUCGAUCUGUUUAGAAGAAAACUAAGCACAUCAAAGUACACUUCAGUGGCCGAUAUACGUCACCCAUGCAAUGUUUUGAGGGGUUAAUCGUUCGAGUGUAUAUACAAUAUAAUACAUAACUGCAGUAUCAUCUUCUCGGCCGCUCUCUGCAGUGUCACGUAAAGCGAGGGAGAAAAGGUAAAAAAAAAGGCAAUUGCCUCAAAUGGACAAUUUUUUGGGUGCAUCGACUAACAGAGAAGGUGUUGUUUACUAUUUAUUAUUUAUUAAAGUAAAAAACUUCAUCAUACGCGUAAAAAAAUUUGUUAUAAGACUUCUAUAGAACACCAUUAUUGUCCGUUGCAUUUAUCCACUGUAGUAGAAUAAUAGUGUUGUUGCCAAAUCGUAGCAAGAGUAUUCAUAGGUUUGUUGGAUAUUUUUGGAAUUCUUCUUUUUCUUUUUUUACUCAUCUUUUUAUUAAUACCCAAUAUCAUACGGGUACAACGAACUGCUAUCGUGUCGUCAUAUAAUAAUAAUAAAUAUUAUUAUUAUUAUACGACAGGAUUAGGAAACAUCUAAAAAUACGUACAAAGUAGCCGUAUAUACUACGCGAUAAAGGUAUCCAAACAGAUAGUUUUUAGCGGAACAGCUACUGUGGUGGGCGACAAUCUUUCAUCAUUCAUCAGCGGUGGUGUUGAACGAUAAUGCUUUUAUCAGGCUCGGAUUAAGGUAUGUGAAACGUAAACGAAAAUAGUUGAAAAUAUUAUUUUAUUAUUUAUCAAGACGAAUAAUUUUGGGCUUAUAUUUAUUGUUUUGAAAUGUAAAAACUUGUACAAUAAAUGUAUACUCACAAAUAACAUGUUAAAAAACAUUAAUAUUAUUUUAAAUGCUAUAAUAAAUUAUAAGGACAACAAAUUAUUCAUAAAUCACAGCCUACAACCACCAAAUCCGGGCCUGAAUUUUUCUUAUUAUAAUGACCAGCGUCAUAUUACCACAAAUAUAGGCGUAUCAUAUUAUAACAUAAAGUGUAUGUAACUACCGUGGGGUGGAAACUCGGAGUGAAGAACACGAUUGAUUGGAAAACGAAUAUGUUUAGGAAAAUGCUAGGCAGUAAUGAAUACACAUGAUAUUACACGUUUAAAACUUCAACCCGUAAUAUGCGAAAAAAUAAUAACCGAUCAUAAAAUAUUAUUAUAUACAAUUAUUCAAAUAAACGAGACUAAUAAUUAAUCACUAAUAUAAUUAUCCCAUACAGGCCAUACAGGUAAAAAUUAAAACUAAUUAACUUUAUCGUAUCUCCUCGUCAUUACAACGCUAAUAUUAUCGUAGUAGUUGUAACAAUUUUUUUUUUUUAUUAACAAUUUUUCUUAGGUAAAAUAAUUAAUAAUAUAGUGAUAUUAUAUUAUA
This is an RNA transcript of Rhopalosiphum maidis (corn leaf aphid), 3705 nucleotides long. It is a transcript of the gene named paired mesoderm homeobox protein 2B-like, with no coding region annotated. The transcript has 5 exons. Lineage: Eukaryota; Metazoa; Arthropoda; Insecta; Hemiptera; Aphididae. The record is from RefSeq and is a predicted model, not a curated record.